GACGAACGCUGGCGGCGUGCUUAACACAUGCAAGUCGAACGGAAAGGCCCUGCUUUUGUGGGGUGCUCGAGUGGCGAACGGGUGAGUAACACGUGAGUAACCUGCCCUUGACUUUGGGAUAACUUCAGGAAACUGGGGCUAAUACCGGAUAUGAGCUCCUGCUGCAUGGUGGGGGUUGGAAAGUUUCGGCGGUUGGGGAUGGACUCGCGGCUUAUCAGCUUGUUGGUGGGGUAGUGGCUUACCAAGGCUUUGACGGGUAGCCGGCCUGAGAGGGUGACCGGCGACAUUGGGACUGAGAUACGGCCCAGACUCCUACGGGAGGCAGCAGUGGGGAAUAUUGCACAAUGGGCGGAAGCCUGAUGCAGCAACGCCGCGUGCGGGAUGACGGCCUUCGGGUUGUAAACCGCUGUCGCCUGUGACGAAGCGUGAGUGACGGUAAUGGGUAAAGAAGCACCGGCUAACUACGUG
RNAcentral lists this ribosomal RNA (468 nucleotides) under uncultured bacterium. Its description in RNAcentral is "partial 16S ribosomal RNA". It matches the Rfam family "Bacterial small subunit ribosomal RNA", at positions 28 to 507 of the family's 1533-position model. The record is from RNAcentral.